This 424-nucleotide ribosomal RNA is filed under the name uncultured bacterium. RNAcentral describes it as "bacterial SSU rRNA". It matches the Rfam family "Bacterial small subunit ribosomal RNA", at positions 355 to 796 of the family's 1533-position model. The record is from RNAcentral.
UAACGAAUAUUCCGCAAUGCGCGAAAGCGUGACGGAGCAAUGCCGCGUGCAGGAUGAAGCGGUUUCGCCGUGUAAACUGCUGUCAGGGGUCACUAACACUGAAGGACCCCAGAGGAAGAGCCGGCUAACCCUGUGCCAGCAGCCGCGGUAAGACAGGGGGCUCGAGCGUUAAUCGGAAUUACUGGGCUUAAAGGGUGCGUAGGCGGUCCCGUAAGUGUCUCGUGAAAGCCCACGGCUCAACCGUGGAACCGCGGGGCAUACUGCGGGACUUGAGGAAGCUAGAGGCCGGUGGAACGAUCGGUGGAGCGGUGGAAUGCGUAGAUAUCGAUCGGAACGCCAAAGGUGAAGACAACCGGCUGGGGCUUUCCUGACGCUGAGGCACGAAAGCGUGGGUAGCAAACAGGAUUAGAUACCCCCGUAGUCC